AUGCAGAUCGAGUAAAUAGAUCAAACAGCUGGGCUGUAAGGCAGUAUUUAAUUUUAUGGUGAUAAUUGUGAAAUUCUGUACAUGUUUAUGUGUUUAUUGUGGAAUUAAUCAGUGUUUAAAAUCACACUGACCUUUCAAUCCCACAGAUCAGUGCAGUGUUCUUUAGCUUCCAUGGGACAUGCCAAAAGUCACGGGACAUGAUACUAGUUCCUAAGAGUUCCUAAUGAGUUUUUUUUAAUAUCAGUGUAUUUGAGAAUUUGAUCCUAAUUUCUAAACUAAUGUAGUGUCUGUUUAUCUUUUGGAAGAGAUUAAAAGCGAGAGUGAAGUGUCUUCAGAUACAAAGAGUAAGUUACUGUUACACUAUCACUGUAUUCAAAAUCAGUAAAAACUUUAUUUCAGUGAAGAAAUUGGUGUGAAAAUGUUCUUCUCUGGUUCUUUUAAGGUGAUACCAGCAAGGACGAGACCACCAGCGGGCCGGAUUCAGUAGGUACGACAGAACCAGAGCAGCUGAUGAUGAAACUGUAAGCUCAGGGUCAGAGUGAUGAAUUCCUGUGUUUUUCUCCAGAUUCUGGUGAAGGCGUGGUGGAGAAGAAGGACCCAGAUACACCAGAUGAAAGCUCAUCAGCAGAGAAGAAGAAGGACGAGACAGAAACAGGAAGUGAUUCUCCAGACACAGACUCUGCUUCUAAAGCAUCUCAGGAAACAGACUCUCCAGAUGGAGCAGAGAAGGACGCUGAUGAUAAGACUGAUACGGAUAAAGAUUCUUCCAGUAAGGAGCAGUCAGACACCGACUCAGCGGAUCAGAAGGAUUCCUCAGAGGACACAUCGGAUACACCUGAUGCUGCAGACAAAGAAACUUUUGACUCAAACGAGUCAGACAAGGACAAGACAGAUACCAGCAAUGACACGGAGAAGGACAGUAAGGAGAAGGACAGUAAGGAGAAGGACAGAGACGUGGAGGAUUCAGACACUCCCGACAAAGAAGUAAAGGACACUGAUAAAGACAGCAGCGAGACUGAAGACACUGACGAGAAGGAGAAGAGUGAUAAAUCAGGUGCAGACAAAACAGAUCCUGAUCGCUCUUCAGAAAAAGGAGACAGCAAGGACGAUACUGAUGCUGAAGACAAGGACAGGGACCGUGACACAGCAGAUACUGCAGACGCAACAGAAACCAAGGACAGCACUGAAGACACGAGCAGAGACAGGGACACAGAUAGUGACAAAGACAGCAAAAAAGACAGUGACAAGGACAACGAAAAAGACAGUGACAAAGACAGCAAUAAAGACAGCGACAAAGACAACGAUAAAGACAGCGACAAAGACAACGAUAAAGACAGCGACAAAGACAACGAUAAAGACAGCGACAAAGACAACGAUAAAUACAGUGAUGGGGACAGAGAUGGAGACAAAGAUAAGGACAGUGAUGGAGACAAAGACAAGGACAGCGAUGGAGACAAAGACAGGGACAGUGACAUAGACAGUGAUAUAGACAGUGACGGAGACAGCAAAUCGGACAGCGAUGCAGACAGCGAUGCAGACAGUGGCGUAGACAGCACAGGUCCAAAAGGCGAGGAUGAAGGUUUAGACAAGGACAAGGACAGCUCACACAAGACCAGCGACGACACCAGCAACGACAGCAAUGAGGGAAAAGAGAUCGAGAGGGAAACCACGACUGAAAACGAAGACAAAGACUCUGAGAAAUCUAAAGAGACCGCCGAAGAACCGUCUUCUGUAGACUCCCAGGAAAGCCAAAAGACCGCCUCCUCCAGCUCAGACUCCUCCCACUCCUCAAGCAAAGAAAACAACCAGGACCAGGAGAAGAGCAGCGCCGAGUCCACUGAUAAAGACAGCUCAGACAGUUCGGACCGGGACAGCACCGAGACCGAGGGAGAGGUUGCAGAUGACAGUGACAGCAGCCCAGAGACGGAGACGUCAGGUAAACUGAAAAUUCCUGCUACACUUUCUAACAUACCUGUAAACUCAGCGGUAAAAUGACAGUGAUAAUAACAGUGUUCACUCAUUUUCUAUAUAUAUAUAAAGUUAUUUAUUAUUAAUAAUAUAAUCUUAUUAAUAAUUACUACAUUUUGUAAAAUUCUGUUUUUACCUUGUCGUUUCGGAAUUGAGGGCACAAUAAUGGGGAAAUUGUUUAUUAAAGCCGCUAUGUAACAAAAUGUGACAAAAGUGAAAAAAAAAGUGAAAAGUGAGUUUUAUACACAUUCUAAGUUUAUCAUCUGCACAUAAAAAACUGGUAACUGGCAGAACGUCUUUCUGCAGACAUCUCAGGAGAAGACUCUGACAGUGAUUCCACUGGUGAGACAGAGUCGAUAUCUCUCACGCCAGUGUCUUCCUAAUCGAGUUUAAUAAUCAUCUUCUUAUCUCUUCCCUACAGAUGAAAACGACAACAGCGACUCGAUGGACGCAACAGAGUCGACGUCACAUGGUAAUAUUUCACAAUCAGAGUGUAACGGUUCAGCUGUAUAUAAAAGUGCAGGUUUUAAAACAGUGCUGUUUUUGCUCUUUUAGAUGAGACCACUGAUGAAGAGACGGACACAGACACUACUGGUGCGUAAUUGGACGAGUGGGAGUUUAGACUGUACAGUCUGCUGCAUGUUGGGUUGAUUUUGCAACAAAACAUAAUAGCAGAUAAUUAGAGUUAAAAUCAAAGGUGGAAUUCAGAACUUCAAAGUAGUUCUGGGGAGACAGAAUAACAUUAAUUACGUAUAGAGUGUAUAAUUACCUGUCUGGGAAAAGGGAAAAGCUUCUGUAAUGCAGUAUUCUGUCUGUUUUCUCCUUCUGAUGGAUGAAGACGAUGCAGGCGACACAGUGCAGGAAGACCCUCCAGGUAAACACUACCCUCCUGCAAUAUUAUACAAAAAGCAGAAGGCGAGGCGUCUGUGAGCAGAUGUAUCAGAACUGAGCCGCUGUGUUUUCCUCAGAGAGCCCUAACCACUCAGGCAAUGAUCAUCAGCAGCAGCUCGAAAAAAGGGGUGACCGAUUUCACACGUAUCGGAGGAGGCGUGUGCUCGUCCACAUCCUCCUACAGUCGCCACUGGUGAUGGGGACUCACAAAGGGGUGGGACAAUUGGAUAACCAAAUUGGGAGAAAAAAUGGAAAAACAUGAAAUAAAUAAUAAUAAAAAAAUUAUAUAUUAAGCA
This 3155-nucleotide long non-coding RNA is filed under the name Astyanax mexicanus (Mexican tetra). RNAcentral describes it as "lncRNA (ENSAMXG00005012088.1)". Lineage: Eukaryota; Metazoa; Chordata; Actinopteri; Characiformes; Acestrorhamphidae. The record is from RNAcentral.